This 460-nucleotide ribosomal RNA is filed under the name uncultured bacterium. RNAcentral describes it as "partial 16S ribosomal RNA". It matches the Rfam family "Bacterial small subunit ribosomal RNA", at positions 338 to 795 of the family's 1533-position model. The record is from RNAcentral.
CCUACGGGAGGCAGCAGUGAGGAAUAUUGGUCAAUGGGCGCGAGCCUGAACCAGCCAAGUAGCGUGAAGGAUGACUGCCCUACGGGUUGUAAACUUCUUUUAUAAAGGAAUAAAGUGAGGCACGUGUGCCUUUUUGUAUGUACUUUAUGAAUAAGGAUCGGCUAACUCCGUGCCAUCAGCCGCGGUAAUACGGAGGAUCCGAGCGUUAUCCGGAUUUAUUGGGUUUAAAGGGAGCGUAGAUGGGUUGUUAAGUCAGUUGUGAAAGUUUGCGGCUCAACCGUAAAAUUGCAAUUGAUACUGGCAGUCUUGAGUACAGUUGAGGUAGGCGGAAUUCGUGGUGUAGCGGUGAAAUGCUUAGAUAUAACGAAGAACUCCGAUUGCGAAGGCAGCUUACUAAACUGCCACUGACAUUGAUGCUCGAAAGUGUGGGUAUCAAACAGGAUUAGAUACCCUUGUAGUC